This 253-nucleotide ribosomal RNA is filed under the name uncultured bacterium. RNAcentral describes it as "partial 16S ribosomal RNA". It matches the Rfam family "Bacterial small subunit ribosomal RNA", at positions 524 to 776 of the family's 1533-position model. The record is from RNAcentral.
UACGUAGGGUGCAAGCGUUGUCCGGAAUUAUUGGGCGUAAAGAGCUCGUAGGCGGUCUGUCGCGUCGGCUGUGAAAACUCGGGGCUCAACUCCGAGCUUGCAGUCGAUACGGGCAGGCUAGAGUUCGGCAGGGGAGACUGGAAUUCCUGGUGUAGCGGUGAAAUGCGCAGAUAUCAGGAGGAACACCAAUGGCGAAGGCAGCUCGCUGGGACGGUACUGACGCUGAGACGCGAAAGCGUGGGGAGCAAACAGG